UGAGCACGACAAAGGAGCAGAAUUCCUAGGCAAAAGGAUACUGGGAGAACAGGAGGAGCAUGCUCAAGGACACAACAUAGAUGGUCACUCCCGCCUUUUGAGCUCUUUGUAAAACUGCCAUAAGAGGCUGCAGUUCAGUGACAAAGUAAUGCAACUUGGCAAGGAAAAGAGUAAAGCCUGGUGAUGAGAAGAAAAAAUGCAAGAAAAUGAAAAUCAGGAGUCAAACAAUGUAGAACAGCUUCUUACCCCCAUCCAUACCCCAUGGCCCAGGCCCUCAGCAUUGAUGGCAUUGUCUCUGCACAGCCAGAAUUUUAGGAAAUGCAUGCCAAUAUUGACAUUACCUCACGUAAUGAAAUCAAGAUUGGAGGCUGGCCCAGUGAUGGCCCAUCUGGAGAAGAGCCUCACGCCAAAGCUGCUAUCUCCCUUUUCCCUUUUUCUUCACACCUCACACUGAGCAUGUACUGCAUCCCGACUGACAGGACCCUCUUACUUCAGACUCUGAUGCCUCCUGAUCCCAAGCUAUACUCUGGGAGCUACCGCAAGGACAAGAAGUACUAUCGUGUUCCCUUAAAAGAAAAUAGAGAGAUCUUCGAAAGGUGGAAGGGGUGGCAGGCCAGAAACGUAAAGUGUGUGCAAUCACUCAGAUACAAGUGGCACCACUAA
This 663-nucleotide long non-coding RNA is filed under the name Vulpes vulpes (red fox). RNAcentral describes it as "lncRNA (ENSVVUG00000010287.1)". Lineage: Eukaryota; Metazoa; Chordata; Mammalia; Carnivora; Canidae. The record is from RNAcentral.